RNAcentral lists this long non-coding RNA (402 nucleotides) under Helianthus annuus (common sunflower). Its description in RNAcentral is "hypothetical non coding rna". The record is from RNAcentral. Lineage: Eukaryota; Viridiplantae; Streptophyta; Magnoliopsida; Asterales; Asteraceae.
UUCUGCCGAAAAAGGGUCUCCUUCGCCACUAAAACAGGUCCAUCCCGAUUGACUAGCGUAGCCCGAGUACAUCACUUCCUAUAGUGGAAUUGUAGGGAAGCGUCAGAUGCAGGUCACAUCUGUUGGUAACAUCUACACCGAAUGAGUUACAUAGGGUUGUUGAUGCUUGCAAGAAUGUCCUAAGAGGCUUGCAUAGUGAAAAGAUGGCAGAUCAUGAAUUGGAUUCGGUUCGUUAUUUUCUUUUAAAGGGCAAAAUGGGUAAAAAGGACGAGUUAAUUAGGAAACACUUUAAGGGUUGAUUGGGUGAAAGUGGCUCAAACUGUAUUUUGAACACAACCUUCUAAAUCAUUUCUUUCAAAAUUAUUUGAAAUAAUAUACUAUUAGUUUUUGUAACCAUGCUCA